GGGGCCAGGACCACCCAGGAUCCGAGUGAGUGCACCGCCAGGCACCUCCAAGAUGCUCCAUCUGACGCCCCCGCGGGCAUAGGGUCCCUCUCUGAACUGACUGGCUCCUCACCUGCUGUGCUUCCGAAGGUUUUUGAGCCAGGGUUUCUUCUUUCGUAUGAGAAUAUCCGCUUCCUCCCAGCAUCUUUAUGCACCUACUGGUUUCUAGCAAUGAUGAACACAAAGUCCAGGUCCCAAUGGAGCUUUUAAUCUUAAAAUGUAGGGGAGGCAGGGUUAAGGGCCAGAAGAUAGAUCAACAAGUAAACAUAAUUUCAAGUGAAGGUUGUAAAGAAAACAAAGCCAGAUUGUGCAAGUGAUGUGCUUUAUUAAGAAAACAAAACAAGAUUGUGCAAGGGGUGGGGGCAGGGAAGAAGAGGAGGUGUGAAGGGUUGCAGCCCGAAUGACCUGGAGUGAAAUCAACCAUAAAAGGGAGCAGUAAAUCAGGGAAACAGAGACCCAGGAAAACGGAGAUUGAAACUUUAUUGUGGGGCUAUUUUUUGUUUAAGUCUUUGAGGUCUGAGGAGAGGGUGGGAGUUCUCUAGCCCUUCCCUUCAGAAGAAGAGGGCCUGGUAAAUUCAGUUCUGACCUGGGUUUGGAGUCACCAUCUUCUUUUUCCUUUCAGAUACACCCUUCCUGCUUAGGACAGAUGUGUCACCCUUACUGUAAGAAGGGCAACCCAUGGAGGGCAGGAGGGCACAUGCUGUGCCAUCUUUCCUGUCCGCAUAAUUCCAUUCUCAAAUUGAUUAUCCUGUGGGCAGAUUAAGUAUGGGUUUAGGGUCUAGGAGUACAGCAGUUACUCAGAAGGCUGAAAAAGGAGGGUGGAAAGUCAGAGGCCAGCCUGGAUUACUCAGAAGAUCUUCCCUCAAAAUAAAAAAUAGAAGCCUGGUAUGGUAGUGCCUGUCUGUAAUCCCAGCAACUCAGGAGGUUGAGGCAGGAGGAUUGCUAGUUCCUAGCCAAUCUCAGCAAUUUAGGCCUAAGCUAAGCGGGAUGUAGCUCUGUGGUAGGGUGCCCCUGGGUUCAGAUUCCACUACCAAAACAAAACAACAACAAAACAACAAACCAGCAAGGACUUUUCUUCUAAACAUUACUUGUUAU
RNAcentral lists this long non-coding RNA (1134 nucleotides) under Marmota monax (woodchuck). Lineage: Eukaryota; Metazoa; Chordata; Mammalia; Rodentia; Sciuridae. The record is from RNAcentral.